RNAcentral lists this ribosomal RNA (465 nucleotides) under uncultured bacterium. Its description in RNAcentral is "bacterial SSU rRNA". It matches the Rfam family "Bacterial small subunit ribosomal RNA", at positions 338 to 795 of the family's 1533-position model. The record is from RNAcentral.
CCUACGGGUGGCAGCAGUGGGGAAUAUUGCACAAUGGGCGCAAGCCUGAUGCAGCCAUGCCGCGUGUAUGAAGAAGGCCUUCGGGUUGUAAAGUACUUUCAGCGGGGAGAAAGGCGAUAAGGUUAAUAACCUUGUCGAUUGACGUUACCCGCAGAAGAAGCACCGGCUAACUCCGUGCCAGCAGCCGCGGUAAUACGGAGGGUGCAAGCGUCAAUCGGUAUUACUGGGCGUAAAGCGCACGCAGGCGGUCUGUCAAGUCGGAUGUGAAAUCCCCGGGCUCAACCUGGGAACUGCAUUCGAAACUGGCAGGCUAGAGUCUUGUAGAGGGGGGUAGAAUUCCAGGUGUAGCGGUGAAAUGCGUAGAGAUCUGGAGGAAUACCGGUGGCGAAGGCAGCCCCCUGGACAAAGACUGACGCUCAGGUGCGAAAGCGUGGGGAGCAAACAGGAUUAGAUACCCUAGUAGUC